UACGAAGGGGGCUAGCGUUGUUCGGAAUUACUGGGCGUAAAGCGUGCGCAGGCGGCUUCUCAAGUCAGGGGUGAAAGCCCAGAGCUCAACUCUGGAAUUGCCUUUGAGACUGAGUGGCUUGAGUACGGGAGAGGUGAGUGGAAUUCCCAGUGUAGAGGUGAAAUUCGUAGAUAUUGGGAAGAACACCGGUGGCGAAGGCGGCUCACUGGCACGUAACUGACGCUCAUGCACGACAGCGUGGGGAUCAAACAGG
RNAcentral lists this ribosomal RNA (253 nucleotides) under uncultured bacterium. Its description in RNAcentral is "partial 16S ribosomal RNA". It matches the Rfam family "Bacterial small subunit ribosomal RNA", at positions 524 to 776 of the family's 1533-position model. The record is from RNAcentral.